RNAcentral lists this transfer RNA (59 nucleotides) under Clostridioides difficile Y171. RNAcentral's name for it is "partial tRNA-Thr". It matches the Rfam family "tRNA", at positions 6 to 62 of the family's 71-position model. From Rfam's summary of the family: Transfer RNA (tRNA) molecules are approximately 80 nucleotides in length. Lineage: Bacteria; Bacillati; Bacillota; Clostridia; Peptostreptococcales; Peptostreptococcaceae. The record is from RNAcentral.
GUGUGGCUCAACGGUAGAGCAGCUGACUUGUAAUCAGCAGGUUGUAGGUUCGAUUCCUA